UGGCACUUCAGAGGAUAGCAGAAGCGUUUGGGAAAGCGCGCCAGAGAGGGUGAGAGCCCCGUAAGCGAAAUCCAAAGAAGGCCUAUCAGUAUCCUGAGUAGGGCGGGACACGUGAAAUCCCGUUUGAAUCCGCGAGGACCAUCUCGCAAGGCUAAAUACUAACCAGUGACCGAUAGUGAACCAGUACCGUGAGGGAAAGGUGAAAAGAACCCCGGGAGGGGAGUGAAAGAGAACCUGAAACCGUGUGCCUACAAGUAGUCAGAGCCCGUUAACGGGUAAUGGCGUGCCUUUUGUAGAAUGAACCGGCGAGUUGCGUUAGUCAGCAAGGUUAAGUCAGAAAAGACGGAGCCGUAGCGAAAGCGAGUCUGAAGAGGGCGAGCAGUUGGCUGACGCAGACCCGAAACCAAGUGACCUACCCAUGACCAGGUUGAAGGCGCGGUAAAACGCGCUGGAGGACCGAACCCACGUAAGUUGAAAAUUGCGGGGAUGAGUUGUGGGUAGCGGUGAAAUUCCAAACGAACUUGGAGAUAGCUGGUUCUCUCCGAAAUAGCUUUAGGGCUAGCCUCGCAAAGAGGAUGCUGGAGGUAGAGCUCUGUUUGGACUAGGGGCCCGUCAAGGGUUACUGAAUUCAGAUAAACUGCGAAUUCCAGACAUUUAUGUGCGGGAGUCAGACUGCGAGUGAUAAGAUCCGUAGUCGAAAGGGAAACAGCCCAGAUCACCAGUUAAGGUCCCAAAAUUCAUGCUAAGUGGAAAAGGAUGUGGAGUUGCGCAGACAACUAGGACGUUGGCUCAGAAGCAGCCAUCAUUCAAAGAGUGCGUAAUAGCUCACUAGUCGAGUGACGCCGCGCCGAAAAUUUACCGGGGCUAAGCAUGAUACCGAAACUGUGGAUGUGCAUUUAUGCA
This 903-nucleotide ribosomal RNA is filed under the name Lactobacillus delbrueckii subsp. bulgaricus. RNAcentral describes it as "partial 23S ribosomal RNA". It matches the Rfam family "Bacterial large subunit ribosomal RNA", at positions 315 to 1223 of the family's 2925-position model. The record is from RNAcentral. Lineage: Bacteria; Bacillati; Bacillota; Bacilli; Lactobacillales; Lactobacillaceae.